RNAcentral lists this long non-coding RNA (92 nucleotides) under Pan troglodytes (chimpanzee). RNAcentral's name for it is "lincRNA". The record is from RNAcentral. Lineage: Eukaryota; Metazoa; Chordata; Mammalia; Primates; Hominidae.
GUUUUUGUUUUUUUGAGACGGAGUUUCACUUUUGUUGCCCAGGCUGGAGUGCAAUGGCGCGUUCUCAGCUCACCGCAACCUCCGCCUCCCUG